UAUUCCACAAGGAUAGCGCCGCUCCAAC
RNAcentral lists this small RNA (28 nucleotides) under Bombyx mori (domestic silkworm). RNAcentral describes it as "ovarian small RNA-24150". The record is from RNAcentral. Lineage: Eukaryota; Metazoa; Arthropoda; Insecta; Lepidoptera; Bombycidae.